RNAcentral lists this microRNA (21 nucleotides) under Cordylochernes scorpioides. Lineage: Eukaryota; Metazoa; Arthropoda; Arachnida; Pseudoscorpiones; Chernetidae. The record is from RNAcentral.
CCUAGUAGGCUGUGUGUCCAC